UGCCAGACUGCCCACGCCUCCCUCCAGCAAAAGCACUGCUUCCCGCUGCACAGCUGACUCGAACGUUAGCGGGAGCUGGCUGACAUUUUAGGUUUCCUCUCUGAGUUUCGUGAGGAUAGUAACGGAAGGUGAGCAGCAACGUGAUAUCACCACAGUCUGGCAACGAAAAAUGUACUCAAAUGAAGAAGGGAUAUUUUUAUUGUACUAAUUAAUUAUUCACAUAUUAAUUGCAUGCUGGUUGCGCAUGUCACACCUAUAGAAAAGAAUCAUGGGUAAGCAAUAUGGCCGUGUGCGAUUAUACUUGGUGAUCGAUAGUUUAGACGUUCAGCCUUCGUUUACGUGUUUCUAAAUGAACUGUGAAUAUUUAGUUUGCACUUUUAAUUCAUUGUAAGGGAACAUUGUUUACUCUUGUUCACGAUUUAAACGAUUAUAAAGAGCAGUGACAGUGGGAUUAAUAUAGAACGUGUUGGAUGUGCACAUGGUGACAAUGACCGGUUUGACAGUGAAUGUUGCAUAUUACCAUGACAUUAUGGUGCACAACUAUGGGCAUAAUUAUUUACAGUGCAGUACUUAUUUAUUUCUUUUAAACCUGAAGUGAAGUACAAAGAUACCGAGUUUUGACAUUGGAUGUCCAGUAUUUUACCACAGUUUCUGAGUUGAACAGCCGGAGGAGGGACGUCAGAGCUCAGACUGGUCAAGGAGAACACUGCAUUGCCCAUUUGGAGAAGACUGGCUGUCGUGCCUACACCAACUCCCCCUCCUUGUAGAAGUCACACUGCGAUACUGUAACAGGUCCGAGAACACCGUCUUUCUUGUGUUCCCUCCAGAGCGCUCACACCCGGCGCCACAAUUAGUGGAAGUAAUCGCCCGACAAGCAUUGCGAGCAGACGUGGCAGCACAAACAAAAGAGUCGUGUCUUGUCCCUCCGCGACGCGGCGCUAAGCAGCCAGCGCCCUUAGCUCAAAUUAAGAAAGUGGUGACACGAGCCAACCUCCUCCACGAGGUUCUUGUUUCUUAAAUUGGGUACACUAAUUGGAGGGAACGUUACUUUUAAUUAUUCCGUCAUAAAAUGUGAGAAGAAACUGCUGUGUGUACCCCCUCCCUGGACCUGCCAGCAGACAGGCGCCUACAAAUCAUUCUCUUCACUAGUUAACUGCAGCAGUACGCCCACGAAAUGGGGAAGAUAUCUGCAAGCGGACGAACACACCGUGCGACGGGCAUAGCGCUGCUUUGCGCCUGGAGAAAUAGGCCGCUACUAACUAGGUAAUUUUGAAAUGGCCGCCAGUGGUAGCCUGCAAGUGGUCAGAUGGUUUAAAAGCUCGAAGAACGGACAUACAGAUGCACACAGACAGCAUGGCGAUCUCAUAAGGUUGGCUUCUUGUCUUGAAGAAGGAAACUGGGAUUAAAAUCAUGUAGAACUCUAUAAAUCAUACUGAAUUCUGG
Molecule: long non-coding RNA, 1443 nt
Organism: Cryptotermes secundus
Lineage: Eukaryota; Metazoa; Arthropoda; Insecta; Blattodea; Kalotermitidae
Exons: 7
Source: RefSeq, a predicted model, not a curated record